This 877-nucleotide long non-coding RNA is filed under the name Cervus hanglu yarkandensis (Yarkand deer). RNAcentral's name for it is "lncRNA (ENSCHYG00000017469.1)". Lineage: Eukaryota; Metazoa; Chordata; Mammalia; Artiodactyla; Cervidae. The record is from RNAcentral.
GUUGAGGGUGGGCAGCAGCCAUUGACUGGACAUCUGAAUCGGGGUGGGGUGAGUGCGACCAGCGCAGGUCAGGCAUCCAGGAAUACUUUCUAAAAUUCUCCUUUCUACCUGGUUUCUAAAUACCUCCCUUGCCGUCCUCUCUCUCCUCUAUCCAGAAUUGGAGGUGGAAAAGCUGAACUGGGAGAUAAAGGUGCGAGAGAAGUCAUAAAUACAAGUACCACUACACAAACUAGAAUAUGUGGGUGCUCUUCCCCCAGUUUGUUGUGCAGCACAAAGGAGGUGAACAACAAGUGGUGAAUCUUCAGAAUUGAAGAAGAGAGUAAGAGGAGUGUGAUAUAAUGUUGAGGGGUUAUCCAGAAACCUGGUCCAGAUGGCCUAAGUUAAAAGGGAAUAGUCUACCUAAUGGAACUCUUACAUGUUAAAAGGCCUGCUUUAAGUCUGGUCACUUCUGCAAGGAAGGAAAGGAGGAGGAGUCCGGUUCAAAUCUCUGGAGGAUAGCCUACAGGCUGCUGUAGAGUUUGACACCACUGGAAUCAAAGAAAGGAGCAAGAAAUUGUGCUACAUCAGUGCAGAUUGACUUCCAGUGGCAGCUCUGGUGGUGUUGGAAUUGCUGCUGAGCACUACCUUCAACAGGUGUGUACCUACCCAGGAACCAUCCAUCCUCUCCCAGCUUGGUUGUGUUUUCUCUUCACUCUGACUGUAAUAUUGACUGAGGCUGGGAUUGGAAAGGAGGCUUAUUGACUGCUGGACUGGUGAUUGGCUCUAACUUUUCUUUCCAACUGUAUCACCUGAGUCAUCAAAAAAUUAGAGUGUGAAGAUACAAAACUGUGAGAAAUCUGUGGUAGAAGCUGAGACUGGGAUAGUUGUAGUUAUUCAG